Molecule: ribosomal RNA, 492 nt
Filed under: uncultured bacterium
Lineage: Bacteria
Description: partial 16S ribosomal RNA
Rfam family: Bacterial small subunit ribosomal RNA
Source: RNAcentral
AGUGAACGCUGGCGGUAGGCCUAACACAUGCAAGUCGAACGGCAGCACAGUAAGAGCUUGCUCUUACGGGUGGCGAGUGGCGGACGGGUGAGGAAUACAUCGGAAUCUACUUUUUCGUGGGGGAUAACGUAGGGAAACUUACGCUAAUACCGCAUACGACCUACGGGUGAAAGCAGGGGAUCUUCGGACCUUGCGCGAUUGAAUGAGCCGAUGUCGGAUUAGCUAGUUGGCGGGGUAAAGGCCCACCAAGGCGACGAUCCGUAGCUGGUCUGAGAGGAUGAUCAGCCAAACUGGAACUGAGACACGGUCCAGACUCCUACGGGAGGCAGAAGUGGGGAAUAUUGGACAAAGGGCGCAAGCCUGAUCCAGCCAUACCGCGUGGGUGAAGAAGGCCUUCGGGUUGUAAAGCCCUUUUGUUGGGAAAGAAAAGCAGCAGGUUAAUACCCCGCUGUUCUGACGGUACCCAAAGAAUAAGCACCGGCUAACUUCGUG